Molecule: ribosomal RNA, 463 nt
Filed under: uncultured bacterium
Lineage: Bacteria
Description: partial 16S ribosomal RNA
Rfam family: Bacterial small subunit ribosomal RNA
Source: RNAcentral
GAUGAACGCUGACAGAAUGCUUAACACAUGCAAGUCUUUGGCGAAGCUGUGCUUGCACAGCCUAGCCAAGGCGGACGGGUGAGUAACGCGUAAGGAACUUGCCCUGCAGUCAGGGAUAACAGACGGAAACGACUGAUAAGACCUGGUAAAGUCAGGCGGACUCAUGUCCAGCCUGACGAAAAGAGAUGCUGCAGGAGAGCCUUGCGUCCUAUUAGCUUGUUGGUGGGGUAACGGCCCACCAAGGCGAUGAUAGGUAGCCGGCCUGAGAGGGUGGACGGCCACAAGGGGACUGAGAUACGGCCCUUACUCCUACGGGAGGCAGCAGUGGGGAAUAUUGGACAAUGGGGGCAACCCUGAUCCAGCAAUUCUGUGUGCACGAUGAAGGUUUUCGGAUUGUAAAGUGCUUUCAGCAGGGAAGAAAAAAAUGACGGUACCUGCAGAAGAAGCGACGGCUAAAUACGUG